Molecule: long non-coding RNA, 1364 nt
Organism: Globicephala melas (long-finned pilot whale)
Lineage: Eukaryota; Metazoa; Chordata; Mammalia; Artiodactyla; Delphinidae
Source: RefSeq, a predicted model, not a curated record
UGGCACUUACCGGGCGCGCGCGCCCCUCCUGUCCCCGGGCCCGCUCCGUAGGGGCGGAGCUCGGCACCCCCUCGGGAGAGGCCUCCCAGCCCCCAGGGGAGCUCCUGUGAGGGCCCCUCUGGGGCGGGGACCUCCUCAGUGUGCCGGCGACCCUUCCUCCCCGGGAAUGACCCUCCUGGCGCCUAAAGACCCCCUUUUCCUCCCAGGGACCGAGGCGCCCGGCACCUUCUGUACCUGUGACCCCCGACGCCCAAGGGAUCCAGGCCACAGGGAGCUUCAAGCUCCUUUGCAAUGAAAAAAGAAAACAACAAACAAACAAAACUUCGAGAAUGAAACUGACCCAGGACGGAGGCGCAGAGCCCGGGACGGUGUCCGUGUUCUAGGCGCACGCGGGGCCCCCGCCCGCCCGGUGGCUCUGACGACCCCGGAACGGCCAGUUUAGGAAGCGGGUUAAGAUCACGCGCCUGCAACACUUUUAAGCUUCAGAGCAGAGCAGUGUUAAUUCCGGUGUUGGCGAGAAACGGAGGGAAUUUCGCCCACGCAGACACUCCCCUGCCACAAGUGCCUUCCAGUUGCCACUUCUCCCAGCGGUUGGGCUCUUUAAAAGGCUCAGUCCAGUUCAAGAUGCUGGCAAACAGGUAUGGACCAAAUGGAAAGAAUUUGGCUUGAGUUAAUAAAUACGAAUAGAAUUCUUGGCCAAGGAUGAGAACUCUAAUCUGAUUGGAUAUCCUGCUCUGAUGGGUUAAAGGAUUUACCUGAGGCCAACUUGAUAGGGCUGGUGCUUGAAAGCUUUUCGAGGAGACAAGGUGUAUUUGAACAUGUGACGAUUGAUAUAUACAGAGUAGAGGUUUUCGCUUACUGUCCCUUUCAUGGUGGUAGCCGGGGAGGACUUUUGAAAAGGUGCCAAAUAUCUGCAAGAACAUAUAUCUGCCCCAUAGAGAAUUUCUGUAGAAUUCAACUCCAUUUAAACUAUUUACAAUCAUUUUUCUGCCAGCCAGCCCCAGCCUGCAGCUCAACGUAGUAACUAGACUAGCUAUUCUAUCAAUACAGCUAUCUUAAGAAAACUGUCAGCUGCUUGAAUUUACAAAGGUUAGUUCUAAAUCCCAUACUUUUGACUAUUCUAAACAUUGUAUGUUUCAAAGUAUCCUUUUAAAGACUUGUUUUUUUGUGCUUACAGUUUUUCCUAUAAUAGAUUAUUUUGAUUAAGUUUGACCCCUUUGACAGAUCAGUGGAUUCCUAAGGAUCAGGGAGGAGUUUGUUACAUAGGGUUUGGUCGGGGGUGGGUGUUGAAGAACUGCUCUACACUUUGAUUAUGGUGCUGUUUGCCUUUGGCAAAUUUUGGAGUGAGUUUUACUGAAUGUAAA